RNAcentral lists this ribosomal RNA (701 nucleotides) under uncultured Bacilli bacterium. Its description in RNAcentral is "bacterial SSU rRNA". It matches the Rfam family "Bacterial small subunit ribosomal RNA", at positions 91 to 776 of the family's 1533-position model. Lineage: Bacteria; Bacillati; Bacillota; Bacilli. The record is from RNAcentral.
GUCAGCGGCGGACGGGUGAGUAACACGUGGGUAACCUGCCUGUAAGACUGGGAUAACUCCGGGAAACCGGGGCUAAUACCGGAUGCUUGAUUGAACCGCAUGGUUCAAUCAUAAAAGGUGGCUUUCAGCUACCACUUACAGAUGGACCCGCGGCGCAUUAGCUAGUUGGUGAGGUAACGGCUCACCAAGGCGACGAUGCGUAGCCGACCUGAGAGGGUGAUCGGCCACACUGGGACUGAGACACGGCCCAGACUCCUACGGGAGGCAGCAGUAGGGAAUCUUCCGCAAUGGACGAAAGUCUGACGGAGCAACGCCGCGUGAGUGAUGAAGGUUUUCGGAUCGUAAAACUCUGUUGUUAGGGAAGAACAAGUACCGUUCGAAUAGGGCGGCACCUUGACGGUACCUAACCAGAAAGCCACGGCUAACUACGUGCCAGCAGCCGCGGUAAUACGUAGGUGGCAAGCGUUGUCCGGAAUUAUUGGGCGUAAAGCGCGCGCAGGCGGUUUCUUAAGUCUGAUGUGAAAGCCCCCGGCUCAACCGGGGAGGGUCAUUGGAAACUGGGGAACUUGAGUGCAGAAGAGGAGAGUGGAAUUCCACGUGUAGCGGUGAAAUGCGUAGAGAUGUGGAGGAACACCAGUGGCGAAGGCGACUCUCUGGUCUGUAACUGACGCUGAGGCGCGAAAGCGUGGGGAGCGAACAGG